RNAcentral lists this ribosomal RNA (468 nucleotides) under uncultured bacterium. RNAcentral's name for it is "partial 16S ribosomal RNA". It matches the Rfam family "Bacterial small subunit ribosomal RNA", at positions 28 to 507 of the family's 1533-position model. The record is from RNAcentral.
GACGAACGCUGGCGGCGUGCUUAACACAUGCAAGUCGAACGGAAAGGCCCUGCUUUUGUGGGGUGCUCGAGUGGCGAACGGGUGAGUAACACGUGAGUAACCUGCCCUUGACUUUGGGAUAACUUCAGGAAACUGGGGCUAAUACCGGAUAGGAGCUCCUGCUGCAUGGUGGGGGUUGGAAAGUUUCGGCGGUUGGGGAUGGACUCGCGGCUUAUCAGCUUGUUGGUGGGGUAGUGGCUUACCAAGGCUUUGACGGGUAGCCGGCCUGAGAGGGUGACCGGCCACAUUGGGACUGAGAAACGGCCCGGACUCCUACGGGAGGCAGCAGUGGGGAAUGUUGCACAAUGGGCGGAAGCCUGAUGCAGCAACGCCGCGUGCGGGAUGACGGCCUUCGGGUUGUAAACCGCUUUCGCCUGUGACGAAGCGUGAGUGACGGUAAUGGGUAAAGAAGCACCGGCUAACUACGUG